GUUUUAACUCAAAAUAUAUUAAUAAAAAAAAAAUCUAAAUUAAAUAAAAAUAUUUGACUUUUUUCAUAUACAAUUUUGCAUAUGUAAAUACCAAGCCCACACUUAUCACAACAUUUGAUUUUAAUAAUGUAUGUGUAAAUGUUGCAAUUAAUUUUAACUAAAAAUCUCAUGUGUUUAAGAAAUAUUUUUCAUUGCUAGUUCAAGUAGAAAUUAAGUUUUAUAAAAUAAUGAAAUACUGCCUAGAAUGAAGGACUUAUUCUUUUAAAAGACAAAAGUCAGUGUCUGAACGCUGAGCUGAAUGUGAUGUUCAUCUGUCUGAGCCCAGAAGCAGAAGUUUGAUGUGUGUGUGUGUGUCUGGCUGUCAGCUCUCGAAAGCCUCCACAUCAAAGCUGCAGACGUGAUUUCCACACGAUUACACAGUCACAAAGUCAUCACUCCAGGGGCUGGAAAGUGCUGAUGAACCCUGUUGUCCGGAGAGGUGCUGGCCUGACGGGAUGAUGGGACGGAGGAAUAAAGCGAGAGCAGUGUGGUGUUCUCAUCUCUUCAGAUCUCAGCACAAAGGCAGUAUGACAGAGAUGAAUCCCUCCCUCUCCCGGACCCUCGCCCCCCCGAACUCCAGGCCCGCUGCUGGGGACGCCUUUGUUCACUUCCCUCCAUUAUGGGGAAAAUAGUGAUACACAGUCAAACCAAAGCCGUGAUUCCCUCUGAGCCUUCUGCUCAUGGUGUCCCAGGUAAACAGCUGACCUUCGUGGAGGGAUUCGGACGGUGCACAUGUUCAUUUUUCAAUCCACUCUUCUUCAACACUGUGAUCACAGCAUUUCAAGCAUCACUCGGCUCUAAAAUCAUCCUGUUUCUCAUAAAGCAGCCUAUCAUUGACCUAUCAGAGACAGACACCAUAUGCAAUGCGGCCAUAAAAUCACUCUGAACAUUAUCAUCCUUCCAAACUGCAGGAAUAUCGCUUCUUGAGUGGACGGAAUUCACAAAGCAUGUUAAAAUAUGCAAAUAAAGGCUCUUAAGAGCUUGCACAGUGGUUGGUUUCAGAGUCGAAUGCUAACGAUUAUUAAUUUGGAGGGGUUUUAAUCUCAACGCACGGAAAAGGGCUCUUUUCUGUGGUCAGGAAUGUUGAUUGGAUUUUGGAACACACACUCAAAAAAAAAAAAUUAAAAACUAUUUCACAUUAGCAAAAUAAUAACCCAAUGACAUGGGUCGAUUGGUUUUCUUUUCACAUAUUAGAUCAACCAAGUGAGAAAUUGGAAAGAAACUGUUGAAGUGUGUUUCUUGACUGCUCAGCGCUGAUAAUGAGUUAAUCCGUGAGUCUGCUCGACUGUCCGAGGUUAGGAUCCACGGGUGUUCGGCGGGUGUUUGAGGGUCACGUAUCCCGACCCACUCCAGAUCAUCCUUCAAGGGCACUCUAACACUGGAGUUUACACUACAUUAGUGAGCACAGCGAAAACCAUUGAUUUUAAUAGGGAUGAGGAUGUCAGUGUUGGGGAAAGAAAUACUUUUUUGUCAGAUUUUUGGCAGGGGGUCAUGCUUUAAAGCCCAGUAAACAUCUUAAACUGGAAACCACUUUUAAAUUAACCACAUUUUUAGCAGACUUUAAAAGAGACUUGUGCAAGAUUUACCAAUGGAGUUAGUGAGUUAAUGAA
This 1649-nucleotide long non-coding RNA is filed under the name Carassius auratus (goldfish). RNAcentral describes it as "lncRNA (ENSCARG00000045668.1)". The record is from RNAcentral. Lineage: Eukaryota; Metazoa; Chordata; Actinopteri; Cypriniformes; Cyprinidae.